UGAAAGAUGGAGAGCGAUAAGAAUAUGUCAAUACACACAAUCCAAUAAAAAUAUGUCAUCAAACAACAUGACAACUCCUCCAUUUGAAGGUAAGAAAGAUGGCAAACGUUACCUAAUAUAAGCAGCACUUCUAUUGGUUAGAACAACAGGGUCAAGAGGCUUAACAGAAUUGGCUUUUGAAUAAUUGCUAAUCGCCUGGAACAAAAAAAAAAGAUAUGUUACUGGCAAGAACAUAUUUGAGAGUUUAAUUUGGGUUUCAGCCUCAGUAAGAGACUACCAAAUCAGUUCAGGCAAGAAGAAGAAAAUUAGUUAACCUCUUCAAAGCGAUGAGAUUCUUUGAAAGCUUCGUUUCCCUUCUCUACAAGUUGAAAAACUUGAUUGUGGAUGUCCAAAGGCAACGAAUUGUCAGCUUCACUGACCUGGACAAUCAAGAACAAAACAUUAAUGCAUGAACACAAAGCCUCAAUCAGAAGAGAACCAAUCAUGAUCACUCACCAGACCAUAGUUUUCAACUUCAUCAAGACCGAACAGAGUGAAUGCAGGAAGAGAUUCUUCGUUCGACAUCCGAGCAAUCAACGCAAGAAAACUGGGUGGGGGCGAUAGAUUAUGAAAACAAAGAGAGAGAUUGAAGAGGGAAGAAGCAACACAGAGAGAGUAUAGUCGUGGACAGUUGAAUCCUCUCUCGACGUGUUUAUACUCUCUCCAAGCGCUUCUUCGUCUUUUUUUUUUCAA
This is a long non-coding RNA of Brassica rapa (field mustard), 732 nucleotides long. RefSeq lists it as uncharacterized. Lineage: Eukaryota; Viridiplantae; Streptophyta; Magnoliopsida; Brassicales; Brassicaceae. The record is from RefSeq and is a predicted model, not a curated record.